Molecule: transfer RNA, 72 nt
Filed under: Candidatus Izemoplasmatales bacterium
Lineage: Bacteria; Bacillati; Mycoplasmatota; Mollicutes; Candidatus Izemoplasmatales
Description: tRNA-Gln
Rfam family: tRNA
About the family: Transfer RNA (tRNA) molecules are approximately 80 nucleotides in length. Their secondary structure includes four short double-helical elements and three loops (D, anti-codon, and T loops). Further hydrogen bonds mediate the characteristic L-shaped molecular structure. tRNAs have two regions of fundamental functional importance: the anti-codon, which is responsible for specific mRNA codon recognition, and the 3' end, to which the tRNAs corresponding amino acid is attached (by aminoacyl-tRNA synthetases). tRNAs cope with the degeneracy of the genetic code in two manners: having more than one tRNA (with a specific anti-codon) for a particular amino acid; and 'wobble' base-pairing, i.e. permitting non-standard base-pairing at the 3rd anti-codon position.
Source: RNAcentral
UGGGCUAUCACCAAGCGGUAAGGUAUAUGACUUUGACUCAUACAUGCGUUGGUUCGAAUCCAACUAGCCCAG